ACUACGGGCGGCAGCAGUGGGGAAUAUUGGGCAAUGGGCGCAAGCCUGACCCAGCAACGCCGCGUGAAGGAAGAAGGCUUUCGGGUUGUAAACUUCUUUUCUCAGGGACGUCGCAAGUGACGGUACCUGAUGACUAAGCCCCGGCUACCUACGUGCCAGCAGCCGCGGUACUACGUAGGUGGCAAGCGUUAUCCGGAUUGACUGGGUGUAACGGGCGUGUAGGCGGGACUGCAAGUCAGAUGUGAAACCCACGGGCUCAACCUGUGGCCUGCAUUUGAAACUGUAGGUCGUGAGUACUGGAGAGGCAGACGGAAUUCCUAGUGUAGCGGUGAAAUGCGUAGAUAUUAGGAGGAACACCAGUGGCGAAGGCGGUCUGCUGGACAGCAACUGACGCUGAGGCGCGAAAGCGUGGGGAGCAAACAGGAUUAGAUACCCUAGUAGUC
Molecule: ribosomal RNA, 443 nt
Filed under: uncultured bacterium
Lineage: Bacteria
Description: partial 16S ribosomal RNA
Rfam family: Bacterial small subunit ribosomal RNA
Source: RNAcentral